RNAcentral lists this ribosomal RNA (677 nucleotides) under Serratia sp. 46ANAIII. Its description in RNAcentral is "bacterial SSU rRNA". It matches the Rfam family "Bacterial small subunit ribosomal RNA", at positions 71 to 742 of the family's 1533-position model. Lineage: Bacteria; Pseudomonadati; Pseudomonadota; Gammaproteobacteria; Enterobacterales; Yersiniaceae. The record is from RNAcentral.
ACAAGGAGCUUGCUCCUGGGUGACGAGCGGCGGACGGGUGAGUAAUGUCUGGGAAACUGCCCGAUGGAGGGGGAUAACUACUGGAAACGGUAGCUAAUACCGCAUAACGUCUUCGGACCAAAGUGGGGGACCUUCGGGCCUCACACCAUCGGAUGUGCCCAGAUGGGAUUAGCUAGUAGGUGAGGUAAUGGCUCACCUAGGCGACGAUCCCUAGCUGGUCUGAGAGGAUGACCAGCCACACUGGAACUGAGACACGGUCCAGACUCCUACGGGAGGCAGCAGUGGGGAAUAUUGCACAAUGGGCGCAAGCCUGAUGCAGCCAUGCCGCGUGUGUGAAGAAGGCCUUCGGGUUGUAAAGCACUUUCAGCGAGGAGGAAGGGUUCAGUGUUAAUAGCACUGUUCAUUGACGUUACUCGCAGAAGAAGCACCGGCUAACUCCGUGCCAGCAGCCGCGGUAAUACGGAGGGUGCAAGCGUUAAUCGGAAUUACUGGGCGUAAAGCGCACGCAGGCGGUUUGUUAAGUCAGAUGUGAAAUCCCCGAGCUUAACUUGGGAACUGCAUUUGAAACUGGCAAGCUAGAGUCUUGUAGAGGGGGGUAGAAUUCCAGGUGUAGCGGUGAAAUGCGUAGAGAUCUGGAGGAAUACCGGUGGCGAAGGCGGCCCCCUGGACAAAGACUG